UACGGGGGGGGCGAACGUUGUUCGGAAUCACUGGGCUUAAAGGGCGCGUAGGCGGGUUCGCAAGUCUGUGGUGAAAGCCCCCGGCUUAACCGGGGAAGGGCCGUGGAUACUGCGAAUCUUGAGGAGGGUAGGGGCAUCUGGAACGGUCGGUGGAGCGGUGAAAUGCGUUGAUAUCGACCGGAACUCCGGUGGCGAAGGCGAGGUGCUGGACCCUUUCUGACGCUGAGGCGCGAAAGCCAGGGGAGCAAACGGG
This 253-nucleotide ribosomal RNA is filed under the name uncultured bacterium. RNAcentral describes it as "partial 16S ribosomal RNA". It matches the Rfam family "Bacterial small subunit ribosomal RNA", at positions 524 to 776 of the family's 1533-position model. The record is from RNAcentral.